This 460-nucleotide ribosomal RNA is filed under the name uncultured bacterium. RNAcentral's name for it is "partial 16S ribosomal RNA". It matches the Rfam family "Bacterial small subunit ribosomal RNA", at positions 338 to 795 of the family's 1533-position model. The record is from RNAcentral.
CCUACGGGUGGCAGCAGUGAGGAAUAUUGGUCAAUGGACGAAAGUCUGAACCAGCCAUGCCGCGUGCAGGAAGACGGCUCUAUGAGUUGUAAACUGCUUUUGUACGGGGGUAAACGCAGAUACGCGUAUCUGUCUGAAAGUAUCGUACGAAUAAGGAUCGGCUAACUCCGUGCCAGCAGCCGCGGUAAUACGGAGGAUUCAAGCGUUAUCCGGAUUUAUUGGGUUUAAAGGGUGCGUAGGCGGUCUGAUAAGUUAGAGGUGAAAUCCCGAGGCUCAACUUCGGAAUUGCAUAUGAUACUGGUAGGCUAGAGAGUAGUUGAGGUAGGCGGAAUGUAUGGUGUAGCGGUGAAAUGCUUAGAGAUCAUACAGAACACCGAUUGCGAAGGCAGCUUACCAAGCUACUACUGACGUUGAGGCACGAAAGCGUGGGGAGCAAACAGGAUUAGAUACCCUUGUAGUC